Molecule: ribosomal RNA, 449 nt
Filed under: uncultured bacterium
Lineage: Bacteria
Description: bacterial SSU rRNA
Rfam family: Bacterial small subunit ribosomal RNA
Source: RNAcentral
UUCCAGACUCCUACGGGAGGCAGCAGUGGGGAAUAUUGCACAAUGGGGGAAACCCUGAUGCAGCGACGCCGCGUGAGCGAUGAAGUAUUUCGGUAUGUAAAGCUCUAUCAGCAGGGAAGAAGAUGACGGUACCUGACUAAGAAGCCCCGGCUAACUACGUGCCAGCAGCCGCGGUAAUACGUAGGGGGCAAGCGUUAUCCGGAUUUACUGGGUGUAAAGGGAGCGUAGACGGCGAUGCAAGCCAGAUGUGAAAGCCCGGGGCUCAACCCCGGGACUGCAUUUGGAACUGUGUGGCUGGAGUGUCGGAGAGGCAGGCGGAAUUCCUAGUGUAGCGGUGAAAUGCGUAGAUAUUAGGAGGAACACCAGUGGCGAAGGCGGCUUACUGGACGGUAACUGACGUUGAGGCUCGAAAGCGUGGGGAGCAAACAGGAUUAGAUACCCUGGUAUAA